ACUCCUACGGGAGGCAGCAGUGGGGAAUAUUGCGCAAUGGGGGAAACCCUGACGCAGCAACGCCGCGUGGGUGAUGAAGGUUUUCGGAUCGUAAGACCCUGUUUUCUGGGACGAUAAUGACGGUACCAGAGGAGGAAGCCCCGGCUAACUACGUGCCAGCAGCCGCGGUAAU
This 172-nucleotide ribosomal RNA is filed under the name uncultured Clostridium sp. Its description in RNAcentral is "partial 16S ribosomal RNA". It matches the Rfam family "Bacterial small subunit ribosomal RNA", at positions 335 to 524 of the family's 1533-position model. The record is from RNAcentral. Lineage: Bacteria; Bacillati; Bacillota; Clostridia; Eubacteriales; Clostridiaceae.